This 505-nucleotide ribosomal RNA is filed under the name uncultured bacterium. RNAcentral describes it as "partial 16S ribosomal RNA". It matches the Rfam family "Bacterial small subunit ribosomal RNA", at positions 28 to 507 of the family's 1533-position model. The record is from RNAcentral.
GACGAACGCUGGCGGCGUGCCUAAUACAUGCAAGUAGAACGCACAGUUUAUACCGUAGCUUGCUACACCAUAGACUGUGAGUUGCGAACGGGUGAGUAACGCGUAGGUAACCUGCCUGGUAGCGGGGGAUAACUAUUGGAAACGAUAGCUAAUACCGCAUAAUAUUAAUUAUUGCAUGAUAAUUAAUUGAAAGGUGCAAUUGCACCACUACCAGAUGGACCUGCGUUGUAUUAGCUAGUAGGUGAGGUAACGGCUCACCUAGGCGACGAUACAUAGCCGACCUGAGAGGGUGAUCGGCCACACUGGGACUGAGACACGGCCCAGACUCCUACGGGAGGCAGCAGUAGGGAAUCUUCGGCAAUGGACGAAAGUCUGACCGAGCAACGCCGCGUGAGUGAAGAAGGUUGUCGGAUCGUAAAGCUCUGUUGUAAGAGAAGAAAGGGUGUGAGAGUGGAAAGUUCACACUGUGACGGUAUCUUACCAGAAAGGGACGGCUAACUACGUG